Molecule: ribosomal RNA, 437 nt
Filed under: uncultured Alphaproteobacteria bacterium
Lineage: Bacteria; Pseudomonadati; Pseudomonadota; Alphaproteobacteria
Description: bacterial SSU rRNA
Rfam family: Bacterial small subunit ribosomal RNA
Source: RNAcentral
AACGAAGGCUUCGGCUUAGUGGCGCACGGGUGCGUAACGCGUGGGAAUCUGCCCUUGGGUUCGGAAUAACAGUUAGAAAUGACUGCUAAUACCGGAUGAUGACGAAAGUCCAAAGAUUUAUCGCCCAGGGAUGAGCCCGCGUAGGAUUAGGUAGUUGGUGGGGUAAAGGCCUACCAAGCCGACGAUCCUUAGCUGGUCUGAGAGGAUGAUCAGCCACACUGGGACUGAGACACGGCCCAGACUCCUACGGGAGGCAGCAGUGGGGAAUAUUGGACAAUGGGCGAAAGCCUGAUCCAGCAAUGCCGCGUGAGUGAUGAAGGCCUUAGGGUCGUAAAGCUCUUUUACCAGGGAUGAUAAUGACAGUACCUGGAGAAUAAGCUCCGGCUAACUCCGUGCCAGCAGCCGCGGUAAUACGGAGGGAGCUAGCGUUGUUCGGA